Camellia sinensis is the source of this 1415-nucleotide non-coding RNA. Lineage: Eukaryota; Viridiplantae; Streptophyta; Magnoliopsida; Ericales; Theaceae. The record is from RefSeq and is a predicted model, not a curated record.
UUCAUUCUGUUGUCUCAUGGGACCAUAGCUGCUUGUCUGGGGGCUAUAUUUAAGUUAUAAUUUUCAGGUUUGCUAAUUAUGGGUUUCAUGCCAAUCUAACAGUUGGCAUUGGAGAUUAUAAUAAUGGGAGGUUAAAAGAUUUUGUUGGGUGCUUAUUCCUUCUAGUUAAAUACUGUAGUUUGCUUAAAAUAAAUAAAGGGUACCAUUUAAGUCUUUACAUUCUUAAUUAUUGAUGCUGUACAACAUUUGGAACUUUGUUAUGUAUGUAAUGCUAUUGUUUUUACAUACACACAUGUAUACUCGUUUGCAUGUAUAUAUCUGUGUGUGUUGAGAGGCUGGGGAUUCUGGUGAGGAGAGAGUUGCCAUUAUUUAAGAAGACGCUCACAUUUGCUAGUAAAGAAGCAUUUCUAACGUCUUACGUGAAUGGGGAAAUAAAAAUUCCAUAUAUUUCUUAGAUCUUUUUUAAUUUGAAGUACAUUUUAAAAUAAUUUAUAACAUCUUAUUCAAGAUUAGUGAAAUGCUAACAAGUACCCUGUGGGUAUUGUUUAACAAUGGAAUUGAUAUAAGAAGUGUCUUGAAAAUAGAUGAAAUAGUUAGUAAAUUCAGUGAAAAGUGUCUUGUGUUUUUAAUUUUUUGUCCUUUUUUUUUGGUGCCUAGAGGGCACUUGUUAGCAAGACCAGUAUUACACAAUGUAUAUAAGUAUUUGAGAUGUGUCCCAAUAGCAAUACCCAACUUUCGGACACCCAUCAUCUUAAUAUUUAGGUUUGGAAAUAUCUGCCCUUUUUCUUUCAAUCCAUCUUCCUGGAAGUAUGUAAUCCAGAACCCCCAAAUGGAUUUAUCCCUUUUUGGAAUAUGACACUUGGACACACACCUGCAUUCGAUGUUUGCACCUGAGUCCAUGUAACAUAGUCCAAGUCAACAGCUCCUGCUAUGGCAGAUAGUGGGAUGCAUCAGCAGACAUAAUGAGGAUUAUGCACUGGUAAUUGAUUUGGGUGCAAUUCAAGUCAACAAAUAUGGGCAGCUUUGAUCAAUGCACCCUUAGAAGUUCAUUUUUUCCAGUUUCGUACGGUACACAAUUUUGCUAUGCAAUCUCCCCAAUAUUUUGGGCUCAAGAAUGAGUCUACAAAAAGCUGUUAAAAGCAAGUUUUAAUAUGCUUCUUGUGUCACUGGAAAACAUGCCUUAAUUGCCUGGGCAACGCGGACAAUUUAUUAUACAAUUGAAUGCAGUAAGGUCAGUGGUGGGUGGGAAGAAUUGCUUGACAUAGGUAGUUGACAAAAUACAAGUUGAGGAUAGAAAAAAUCUCACUGCUUUUUAUUUUUAUUUUUUUGGGAAUGAUCUCCCAAGAGUCGAAGAAGUUUUUGUCUUUUCUGUUACUUUAUUUGUUCUUUUUGUCACUGUUGGAUUUGCUUUAUAA